CUGGGUUUAGAACGUCGUGAGACAGUUCGGUCCCUAUCUGCCGUGGGUGUAGGACGCUUGAGAGGAUCUGUCCCUAGUACGAGAGGACCGGGAUGGACGUACCUCUGGUGUACCAGUUGUCGCGCCAGCGGCACCGCUGGGUAGCUAUGUACGGACGGGAUAACCGCUGAAAGCAUCUAAGCGGGAAACCCACCUCAAAACCAGGCGUCCCUGAGAGCCGUGAAAGACCAUCACGUCGAUAGGCCGGGUGUGGAAGUGCAGCAAUGCAUGCAGCUAACCGGUACUAAUCGCUCGAUAGGCUUCGAUC
RNAcentral lists this ribosomal RNA (307 nucleotides) under Caenispirillum bisanense. Its description in RNAcentral is "bacterial LSU rRNA". It matches the Rfam family "Bacterial large subunit ribosomal RNA", at positions 2605 to 2925 of the family's 2925-position model. Lineage: Bacteria; Pseudomonadati; Pseudomonadota; Alphaproteobacteria; Rhodospirillales; Novispirillaceae. The record is from RNAcentral.